UCUUUCCAAUUCCUCCCAUUCC
Molecule: microRNA, 22 nt
Filed under: Gossypium raimondii (Peruvian cotton)
Lineage: Eukaryota; Viridiplantae; Streptophyta; Magnoliopsida; Malvales; Malvaceae
Description: gra-miR482
Gene: gra-miR482
Source: miRBase by way of RNAcentral